CUGGCCUGGCCCUGGGGCUGGUUUUGCUGCUCCCUGAGUCCCGCUGCUUCUCCCUCAGGAUCAGUCUCUUGGGAACUGGAGGCUGAAGAAAAAGAUUGGCGAGGGAGAAGAGGUGGCUUACAAAUUUACCCCAAAAUAUGUCCUCCGGGCUGGGCAGGCGGUCACAAUCUGGGCAGCUGAUGCUGGGGUGGCCCACAGCCCACCUUCUGUCCUUGUGUGGAAGCACCAGACCAGUUGGGGCACCGGGACCAGUGUCCGCACCUACCUGGUGAACUCUGAUGGAGAGGAAGUUGCUGUGAGGAGUUUGACUCAGUCAUCUGCUGUGCUGCAGGACAACGGGGAGGAAGAUGAGGAGGCAGAGUUUGGGGAGGAAGACCUCUUUCACCAGCAGGGGGAUCCCAGGACCACCUCCAGGGGCUGCACCGUCAUGUGAGAGGAAGGGAAACCGUCUCUGCUCGUCUUUUCUCCUUUUUUUGCUCUGCCCAGGGACUCUGCCCUGAGUCACUGAAACUAUUUUUAUACAUUGCAUAUGAUCACUCCUUUUCUUUCUUUUUCUUGGAGAUGGUUCCUUAGUAAACUUCUUAAAGAGAGAACUUGAAUCAGCCAGAACUGCCACCAUCUUUUGAAGACUUGCUUUCCCUUUGCAAUGCCCAUGGUCUACUUUGUUUGUUGUCUUACUUGCAAGCCAAAGAGUGAUGCAGCUCCAGGAGUUUCCGGGGAAGAGAAAGCAUGGCUGAAGUUGCCACUCUGGAGUGGACAGUCUGCUUCUGUGGCCCUCCUGUUCUUGUACUGGGGGGAGGUGGUCAAGCAGUGACCCUGGUGUAAGCCUGCCUGUGCCCUCAGGGGCAACCCCAGUGGUUGUGCAGAUAAAACCAGGUGGCAAAUGUGAGGAUUAGUGAUCUUUUCAUGCCAUUGACCCUAGGUGUGCCUCAGAAGGCCUGGACCUCCUAGGACAGAAUGACUCUGGAAACAGUUUGGGCAGCUCUGUGGAGCAUGGAGG
Podarcis muralis (Common wall lizard) is the source of this 1000-nucleotide non-coding RNA. NCBI's taxonomy places the organism in Eukaryota, Metazoa, Chordata, Lepidosauria, Squamata, Lacertidae. The record is from RefSeq and is a predicted model, not a curated record.